Molecule: long non-coding RNA, 1034 nt
Organism: Triticum dicoccoides
Lineage: Eukaryota; Viridiplantae; Streptophyta; Magnoliopsida; Poales; Poaceae
Exons: 2
Source: RefSeq, a predicted model, not a curated record
UCCCCUUUUUCUAGCGGCCUGUGCGCCGCCGCCGCCGCCGCCGCCACUGUCAUUCCAACCUCGAGCCACAUCGUCCCCCUCUCGCCCGAGCGACAAAGGCACCCCCGGCAGCGGGUACACGUCGGACACGCACGAGGAGCCGGCCGACCGCAAGAACAAGAUGGCGAUGAGGAUGAGUCGCCGCCGCUGAAGUAGACCCCAAACCAGUGGGUCUCCUUCUGCGUCGACAACUCGCUGAGCAAUCGCGUCAUCGAGUAGGCGAGCAGCAUCGACAGCGAGAACCUCCGCAAUCCGCAUCGCCGACGAGGAGGACGACGGUGUUGACAACCAGAUCAUGGACUUUGCAGUUGCCGACUGCGUGGCCCGCGCGCCUUCCAUUGAGGCCGGGGAGGCAUCGGGUAAUAAGGGCCAAGGACAAGCGUUGCACAACGGCGGACGACGUCGCCCAGGCGCCAGGCCAACAGCAUCGUCCAGUCCGGCAACGGCUUCUCCCCCGUGGCACACAUCUCCAGGAUGGGCCUUAAGGUCGUGUCAAUGAUAGCGCCCUUCUCCAACCUCUGUGCAGUCAACAUCUCCGGCAACUUCAUGGGUAAGCAAGCACUGCCGCUGCCGGUCAGUAAGAUCGACAGAACAUUGUCAAUUGCUACUGCACCAAACAAUAGUACUUUCAGUAUCCCUUGACGGCUUCUUCUCCAAACAAGGUGGUGUAUGAAGUUGCUAAUGAAGGGCCACGACCUGAAAUUCCCGAAGGGACUCUUUGCAACUUAAUUGCGGGUGAUGUUACUUUGUGAUGUGAUGUUCUGUUUUCCAGAUUUCGGGUGGAAUAAGUGUAGACUCACGUCAGCUUAUUCUGAUCUUUAGUUUCAGUUUAGGGAUAAUUGUUUUGUUUAUUACCUAUUGCUUGGCAAAGCCCCAUGAUCAGCCAAGCCUGCAGUAGAUCCUUGCUUGCUCCAUUGCGGAUACGCUGUAUAUGUAUGAUAUUUCCACCAGAUAGUCAAGGAUAUGUGCAAGUCAGCAAAGUGGCAGUUCAGUCA